Long non-coding RNA from Bombyx mori (domestic silkworm), 1104 nucleotides. RefSeq lists it as uncharacterized. The record is from RefSeq and is a predicted model, not a curated record. The transcript has 4 exons. Lineage: Eukaryota; Metazoa; Arthropoda; Insecta; Lepidoptera; Bombycidae.
UUUACUUUUAAUGAAUCCUCAGAUUUCAUUAUUGAAGUGCGUGCGCGGUUAUAAACUUACAUAAUAUAAUUCAUGAAGCGUUAUUUAUCGCGUACAAAAUACAAAGGUUUUCGCUAAGCAUCUGCUUACGUCAUAAAAGUGUAUUAUGUCAAUAAAUAAAAAAAAAAAUAAGAAUAAUGCCGAGUCAAAACAUUAGUUUCCCACAACGAUUAAACAGCCGCGAGUAAUAAAGGGCGUCUGAAAACACUAUGGGUUGCGCCAAUGCGUUGCGGGGACAGGAUAUUAUUCAAGACAACUCAUUGUACGUACGUGAUGGAUGUGAUGAGCGCAUCCGUGUAGGCCGAACCCUAAAAAUGAAGUGCAAUAAAACCAAGACGAUAACACCGCUGUAAUUAAGACGAGGUAAAUAUAUGGAACGCAUUGACGGAUCGUAAAGUCGAAGAAUUCAAAACAACAAACUGCAAGGCAUCAUUAAUCUACUAAUCUAUUUAAGGACACGCGAUAAGAAUCUCAUUUAAAGUAUUGAAUGAAGAGUGUUCGUAGUGGACUCGAGAUAGGCUUAAAUUAGCUUUUGAGGCCAGGUGGCAUUACCAGAGUUCUUGAUUCGGAAUAUUGAACAUUCACCCGUCUGCGCAAGGUCGGUGUUUAAACGACAAAUGCAUCGAAACAGAUAGGAGCGACAUGUCCGACAUUGGAGGACCGAUGUUGACCACUACAGUUGUGACGUACACCGCGUUUCUGACCACGGACUGAACUCAAGAUAUCACAACGGCCAUUAUUCGAUAAAGAUACAUGUAUUCAUAGUUAAUUUCAUAAGUUCAAGUAUUUCUAGUAAAAUAAUUAGUACUACUUUAUACAAGGGUCAUUGGCCACAAUAAAUAAAUUGCCGUCAUUGGCACAGUAAUUUUUGUAUAACUGAUUGUGAGUCUGAUGGAUGGGAUUAUAAUAUUGUCUUUUUCACUUGAACUAACAUAAUGAUAGUUUUUGCUUAUAUUAAAAUGUGUUUGACUAAAAAUUCAGCAUUGUAACAAACCUGUUCAGAGCAGCUCAGUUACUUUAUGGAGAUUGAAUUCAAACAAUUUAUUUGAAUGUAGAUUACUUGAG